RNAcentral lists this ribosomal RNA (404 nucleotides) under Bunodosoma granuliferum. RNAcentral describes it as "partial 16S ribosomal RNA". It matches the Rfam family "Bacterial large subunit ribosomal RNA", at positions 1979 to 2432 of the family's 2925-position model. Lineage: Eukaryota; Metazoa; Cnidaria; Anthozoa; Actiniaria; Actiniidae. The record is from RNAcentral.
AUUGUUGGCCGGUAUGAAUGGCGUCACGAAGGCCCCACUGUCUUAAGAGGACUCUCCAUGAAAUUGAAUUCGUAGUGAAGAUGCUACGUCCAUAUUGUAAGACGAAAAGACCCCAUUGAGCUUUACUAAAGACUUGCAUGGCUCAAAAUAAUUUGAUUUAAAUAAAGAGUUUAGAUAAUGUGGGAUCCGUUUCCGGUUAAUGAAACACCACUCUUUUAUUUUAAGAGAGCUAACAUUACAGGGAUAGUGUAAGUUGGAUAGUUUGGUUGGGGCGACCACCUUUUAAAAGGUAACGAAGGUGAGCUUAAGGUCCGUAGUUAAUAGCCGGUGGCCUGACUGCAAGGGGGACGUCUCGAGCAGACACGUCCUUAGGGAUGUGGACUAUAGUGACCCGUCAUCUUAGU